UGGGGCUUUAGUUUAUGGAGAACGGACGGCUGUUAACCGUUUGGAGUGCGGUAGCACAGGCUUC
RNAcentral lists this transfer RNA (64 nucleotides) under Kuphus polythalamius. Its description in RNAcentral is "tRNA-Asn". Lineage: Eukaryota; Metazoa; Mollusca; Bivalvia; Myida; Teredinidae. The record is from RNAcentral.